Molecule: long non-coding RNA, 2468 nt
Filed under: Vulpes vulpes (red fox)
Lineage: Eukaryota; Metazoa; Chordata; Mammalia; Carnivora; Canidae
Description: lncRNA (ENSVVUG00000002662.1)
Source: RNAcentral
GUAACCUACACAUGCUAAAUGUGGCUUACAAAUCUUUUGACUUCAUGGAAGACGCACACCAUCAAGAAUAAUUCGUUUGAGACCCACUUGGCUUACCUAAAGUCAAUGAAAAGCCAACUAAGACAUUAAUUUGUAGUGGUGAAAUUCGCCUCAGCAUGGACACAUAUCACCUACCUGGUUGCCUUCUUUAAAGAUAAGAAAAAUGUUUUUUAAAUCUCAUCAAUUGACUUUAUUUGAAAAGUUCCUGUCCUCUUUAAAUCAUUCUGAAAAUGUAAGUGCUGGUGUAUUUCGGCCCUCCAACACAGAAAAGAAAGAAGUUUCUCCGUGUGAUGAUAAUUCAGUUAGGAAUACUAUGUGCUAUGCCCCCAAAAGACAUUCCUCUGUUAUAACAUUGCUAGAAACCUGUGAUUGGGAGUAGAGAAAUUGUACAUGGGUGAUCCUUAUUAAGGCCAACUUGAAAAUUCUUCUCUCCACAGCAGCACUUCACGGGGAGAAAGGGGGAAAUUUCUCUGCUUGCAAGUGAAAUUCAACCAAAUGAUAAUAUGCUGUUAGAUAAUAUGCCCUUUCAGACACUGAUCAAGUGAACUUUUUUCUCAAUUCAAGACGACAUCUUCUUUGAAGCUAUGCUAUCACUCGAUAUUAAUUUUAAUGUGUAUUUACUAAUCUCCAAAAUUCAGUUCAUUCUCUGCUGGUUUUCUUUACCGUCAGGUAGAUUAAAAUAUUCCUAAAUACUGCCUCCUUGGAAGAUUCCUGAAGUGUUCUAAGCCUUCCCAGAAGCUAUUGGUCAAUGUUAAACAAUACUGAGAAUUCUAAAGUAAUUCCACACAGUAAUGCCCACUGGUAAAACCCCAAGGAAGAGAUGCUACCAACUGUGUCGCUGAUGGAUGAGAGCUGUUUCAUGUUUUUCUUCCUAAAUAGUUUCCUUUGAUAUUUUAACAGUUUUAUGGUAAUGUAUUUUUGUGUUGUUUUCUCUUUCCUUAGUCUUCUUCUCCCUUCCCUCCUGCACCUCUCCUCCAUCCUCUUUCCUCACGGAUGGUCCAGUCGCUGUGGUCAGCCUCUGUGCCCCACCUGGGUAGCUGAUGAAGGAGGUGCAGUUGGUUUUGCCAGUUUAGUCAACUUCAGAACAUCAGUGGGCUCUCAAAACACUUCUUCAGCUCCCAGGGCACUGCUCAGCCAUCUUCUUCUCAUUUUGGAACUAGGUCUCCCUGAAGCCCUGAAACUGGCCCAGUUCCUUUGGUUGCCAUCGUCUGGGAUGUCACAGACAUCUGGGCUUGCAUCUUUCUGCGUGACUACCCUAAUCCAGUUUCCAUUUAGCAGCUUCUUGUGCUUUUGCCAUGUCCCCCCAACCAGGUCGCUUCAUGUUGUGCUAGGUUGAAUGUAGCUAGGAUGCCAGAAUGGGCUGGUUUUUUCUUUCUGAUCCAGUUUUACAUUGAAUGUGCUGAGAGCCAGAGUGCUCCUUGAGACAUUGUUUGUGAAAAGUAGCCUAUUUUGUGGUAAAUAAGCCAUUAUCAUUUGAGGUUACCAAAGAGGAAGACUUUGUUAGAUUGCUUGAGUCAUAGUCAUGUUUAUGCUGAAACAGAACUCUUCCAACCAUCCCAUUUUACAGACAAGGAAACUGAACUCUAAAGAGAAGAAGAGUCCAGCAGAGGUUAUAGACAGGAGUGAUUUAAGUGCAAAUUUGGGGCUUACAACACUAAUUUGAGAUAAAAUAGGUUUGUGAGGUGUGUGUGUGUGUGUAUGUGUGUGUGUGUGUGUGUGUGUGUGUGUUUUCACAUGGACAUGAACAGAGGAGAAGAGAAAACUGGGAACCCAUAUGGCUGAGGGGGAAAGGAAAUGGAAAAUCUUUGUGUGUGGGGUGAAGAGGAGGCGUAGGAGAGUAGAGGCAAGAAGUGUUCAAAAAGGAAAUCCACCAGAAAAGAGUUAAGAAAGUAAGAAAGAAAGCUCAAAUGUUUAAUAGAUUAAACCAGGGCAGGAACUGAACAGACCGAUUUUAGAAAUUAUGUCGGCAGAACACCUUAAAAAGCAAACCAUGGAAGGAUAUUUCUAGAGAUAAGGAAAAGAAAGAUCUAGAGAAAAGCCCAGGCUGUUAAGCAUGGCUUAAGAGAAUAAUUUGAGUGAAAUCUUGGAAAUGGUUGCUCUUUCCUUAAGUGAAUUAGAGGCAUCAGAGACACAGCUUAACUUGGUGCAGAAAUAGUGUGGAAUUGGCUAUAACCAGACUCUAAACCAGGCGGAGCUAACUGUGUGUGUUUUGUUGACCUGUAUCGUGUGAAACCCAAACUUCCACAUUUCCAAGUUAAGGUAAAUCUUGCAGCCGCAGUGACUGGCUGAGUAGGAGAUUUUGAUGGCCAUACUUUCUUGCAAAGACUGUGCUUUUCACUCUUUUGAACUGUUGAAGUCAAUGGCAGCAUUUAUUACUGGGAGUUUAGUCGAUAGCAAAUUUGACAGCAAUAAAGAAGGACUGCUAAUCA